GGAGGAAAAGAAACCAACAGGGAUUGCCUUAGUAGCGGCGAGUGAAGCGGCAAAAGCUCAAAUUUGAAAUCUGGCACUUUCAGUGUCCGAGUUGUAAUUUGAAGAAGGUAUCUUUGGGUCUGGCUCUUGUCUAUGUUUCUUGGAACAGAACGUCACAGAGGGUGAGAAUCCCGUGCGAUGAGAUGUCCCAGACCUAUGUAAAGUUCCUUCGAAGAGUCGAGUUGUUUGGGAAUGCAGCUCUAAGUGGGUGGUAAAUUCCAUCUAAAGCUAAAUAUUGGCGAGAGACCGAUAGCGAACAAGUACAGUGAUGGAAAGAUGAAAAGAACUUUGAAAAGAGAGUGAAAAAGUACGUGAAAUUGUUGAAAGGGAAGGGCUUGAGAUCAGACUUGGUAUUUUGUAUGUUACUCUCUCGGGGGUGGCCUCUACAGUUUACCGGGCCAGCAUCAGUUUGAGCGGUAGGAUAAGUGCAAAGAAAUGUGGCACUGCUUCGGUAGUGUGUUAUAGUCUUUGUCGAUACUGCCAGCUUAGACUGAGGACUGCGGCUUCGGCCUAGGAUG
Molecule: ribosomal RNA, 557 nt
Filed under: Lodderomyces parapsilosis
Lineage: Eukaryota; Fungi; Ascomycota; Pichiomycetes; Serinales; Debaryomycetaceae
Description: LSU rRNA
Rfam family: Eukaryotic large subunit ribosomal RNA
Source: RNAcentral